AUGUUUGUGCAGAGAAAGCUGCGCAGCCAUCAAGAGCUACACAGAAAGAGAGAAGAACCCAGAAUUGUUUGUUUUUCCCUCAAAGCAAAGAAACAUCCUGGGAGCCAGAAAACCCCACUGAUCCUCAAAGAUGGCGAGUCCAGACCAUGGAUUCCUAUGUUCCAAAAUGCGCAGAUGGACCUGGGGAAGGUGUCCCCUGAUGUGGCAGAAGGUCGUCCCGGGCUGAUACAGACCGAGUCCUCAGUCCUGCCCUUCCUCCACAAUCCUGAUGUAGAAAUAGAGGGGCCACUGAUGUCACAGGUACCCUCCUUGCAGGAAGAGGCAGCGUGGGGCAAGGCUGGGCAGAGCAGUCCUCUGGAAGCCAGGUGGGGAUGUUCAGAGAUCAUAAUCGCAUGCUGCCCCUCAGCCCUUUUGUGCCUUCUGUCUUCUCAAAGAAGAAUCUUCUGCAAACUAAGAAGUGCAAAUCGAACAGCUGAGAGGAUGGCACAAGAGCUGCACCCAACAGGGGAAAGGAGAUCCCAGAUGCCCAAGAAUCGUCAGAUGCAGCUGAUCCUGGGGAUAAUCUCAGAGGAAUCAUGAAAAAUAACAGAGCCCUGAGAGAUAAGGAAAUUGCAGUUGUAAUUUUCAAAAAGGGAAAGAAGGUAGGUCCUGUGAGGCAUAGACGAGUUAGGUUGAUGUUGACUCUUGGCCAGAAUCUUGAAGGACGUCUGAGAAGAUGGUUUUCAAGCUCCCACAGAAGGCAUCAGCCACCCUGAAGAGCCAGCCCCGGCCUCAGAAAACACAUGGGGUCAGGUGCACUCACCUCCUUUCCCAGCAGAGCCUCUGACGGCAAGCGUGUAAGUGAGGUGGAUGAUGGCCCAUGGUCCGGGAAGGAGCAGAUGAGAAAGGAGACUGGGCUCACUGACUGUUUUUAGGUCAAAUCAGCAGAGACAAAUUCUAGCUAGUUUAAGCUGAGAAGGCAUCUUAUUCAAGGAUAUAGAACUGCUUACCAACUCUGGGAAAGGGCUAGAGAGUCGAGUUUGGGCAUCACACACAGAACCACAUCCAAAAUCAUGGGGUUGGUCCCGUGAGGACACAGAAGCUUGUCAACAGUGGCCUGGACACCACCAUUCCCACCACCGACACCAUGACCCUGGUGCCCCUAAGGGCAUCAGACUGUCCCCACUCUCUUGCGCUCCUGGGUCAGAGUUCGGCAUGAUGCCCUCCACCAUUGGAGCCCAGAUCACAUGGCCGUACCCCAGCUGCAAGGGGCACUGGGAAAGCCAGCCACUGGCAUUUUCCACCUUUCAUUCUGGGAGCUGGUCUGCACUCUAGAAAGACUCUUAAGGUAGAUAAUUACCCCAAAUAGAAAAGGGGCUCAGAUCAUGGUGACCACAGAGAUUGGCUAAUGUCCUGCUACCGCUCACAGAGGUUGAGGGACAGGGUAAUUGGGCAGGUUUAUAAAUGGUUGAAGGAUCACAGAGUUGCUAAUUAGCCAUCCUUUUUCAUCUAAAGGAAGGUUGUUACUGGCAUACCGCAGAACUCUGUGUUUCUGUGCUACACAAGAAUUUUUUUUUUUAAUCAGUGGCUUAUUCUCUCU
This is a long non-coding RNA of Bos indicus x Bos taurus (hybrid cattle), 1579 nucleotides long. The record is from Ensembl. Lineage: Eukaryota; Metazoa; Chordata; Mammalia; Artiodactyla; Bovidae.